This 253-nucleotide ribosomal RNA is filed under the name uncultured bacterium. RNAcentral describes it as "partial 16S ribosomal RNA". It matches the Rfam family "Bacterial small subunit ribosomal RNA", at positions 524 to 776 of the family's 1533-position model. The record is from RNAcentral.
UACGUAGGUGGCAAGCGUUGUCCGGAAUUAUUGGGCGUAAAGAGCGUGUAGGCGGUCCGGUAAGUCGGCUGUGAAAGUCCAGGGCUCAACCCUGGGAUGCCGGUCGAUACUGCCGGACUAGAGUUCGGAAGAGGCGAGUGGAAUUCCCGGUGUAGCGGUGAAAUGCGCAGAUAUCGGGAGGAACACCUAUGGCGAAGGCAGCUCGCUGGGACGUUACUGACGCUGAGACGCGAAAGCGUGGGGAGCAAACAGG